RNA transcript from Tigriopus californicus, 1064 nucleotides. RefSeq lists it as uncharacterized. The record is from RefSeq and is a predicted model, not a curated record. The transcript is spliced from 3 exons. NCBI's taxonomy places the organism in Eukaryota, Metazoa, Arthropoda, Copepoda, Harpacticoida, Harpacticidae.
GAAUGAUGAUUUCAUUCGUCUUGUUUAAUUUAGCUUAGCUAACUUGAGUCUGGUAAAAGAGUCGGGAAAUCAAAUGGCCUAGCCCCAUUACUACGCUGUUCACACACCUGCAUCUUCGCUAUUCUCCACUUUCCCUCUUCAGUCACCCUGAGCUUCCGCUGCCUCCGUUCUUGCUUCAUUUUCAAAACCCGCCACCAACAACUGUCCAAAAGCAAAGCCAGAACGAAACCCAAGACUCGUCUGAUCUUUUGGACGGACGCUUAACGGAUUUAAUCGGAGCCAUGACCUACUCCGUUCCCUCGUAUUUGGAGGAGACUCGCUCGCAAACCGAGGAUCUGAUCCAGCAAAGCCAAACCAGUGAUUUCAAUCUCGAGAUAUUGGCGCAAGAAUGGCUCUCCGCCGUUCAAGUCCGUCAAGAUCGGCUCACGCAAGAGUUGGCGGAUUUGUACGCCCAAUUCGUGGGACACGUGGAUCAAAUCAGGACCAUCAAGGAUUACCAAGAGGAGAAAUCCAAAUUGGCCAUGAGCGAGUUGGAGAGACAUCAGACUGAACUGAGUCAGUUGAAUGUGGUCAAGGAUGAGAAGGUUCGAGAGAUCCAACAAUUGGAGCACCAACUCGUUCUCACUAAUGCCAAGAUUGACGAGGUGGGCGAGAAGGCGCUGGAGGCGGUGGAAGUGGCCAAGAAGUUCCCUCAUCUGCAUGCUCAAAAGAACUUGUUCUAUCACGUCAGUCGGAUUCAUUGGGACAAAGUGAGCCAGAAUGAACAUUUGGUCAAGGGCUUUGCCAUCAAUCCCAUCAAGAACGACGUGUCCACGUUCGUGUUGGACCAGAGGGAGCUGACCGAUUCACGAAAUCAUAACAUCCUCUGGGACUACAUUGGUGCAGGCGUGUCCUCCGAGUGGAAGAGGCUUUGAGGGAGGCCGUCCGUCCGUCGUUUGAAUGUGUAGAUAGAUGUAAUGGGGAAGUCAAUCGAUUGACGCAAUGAAGGAUGAAUUUGGUGCCCAAGGAAUUCUCUUUCAUCUAUCUUUCCAUCUAAUGGCGAUGCAAUAGAAGUCUGAGAGUGG